UUGGAGUAGACACUCUGUGCCGGAGGUCUGUAGGCCAAAACAAUAGAAGUCCGGCACAGAGCGUCUAGUUCUGGA
RNAcentral lists this microRNA precursor (75 nucleotides) under Eptesicus fuscus (big brown bat). RNAcentral describes it as "microRNA efu-mir-9338 precursor (efu-mir-9338-2)". The stretch from base 4 to 70 matches the Rfam family "mir-9338 microRNA precursor family". The record is from miRBase by way of RNAcentral. Lineage: Eukaryota; Metazoa; Chordata; Mammalia; Chiroptera; Vespertilionidae.